This 473-nucleotide ribosomal RNA is filed under the name uncultured organism. RNAcentral's name for it is "partial 16S ribosomal RNA". It matches the Rfam family "Bacterial small subunit ribosomal RNA", at positions 333 to 797 of the family's 1533-position model. The record is from RNAcentral.
ACACUCCUGCGGGAGGCAGCAGUGGGGAAUAUUGCACAAUGGGCGCAAGCCUGAUGCAGCCAUGCCGCGUGUAUGAAGAAGGCCUUCGGGUUGUAAAGUACUUUCAGCGGGGAGGAAGGCAAUACGGUUAAUAACCGUGUUGAUUGACGUUACCCGCAGAAGAAGCACCGGCUAACUCCGUGCCAGCAGCCGCGGUAAUACGGAGGGUGCAAGCGUUAAUCGGAAUUACUGGGCGUAAAGCGCACGCAGGCGGUCUGUCAAGUCGGAUGUGAAAUCCCCGGGCUCAACCUGGGAACUGCAUUCGAAACUGGCAGGCUUGAGUCUUGUAGAGGGGGGUAGAAUUCCAGGUGUAGCGGUGAAAUGCGUAGAGAUCUGGAGGAAUACCGGUGGCGAAGGCGGCCCCCUGGACAAAGACUGACGCUCAGGUGCGAAAGCGUGGGGAGCAAACAGGAUUAGAUACCCGGGUAGUCCCA